AUGUUUCAUGACUGAUGCCAUGGAUGGGAACCUUGAGUCUGGAGAUGAGAACAAAAAGAGAUCAGAGUUGUGCUAUGUAAUAGACGACCUAAGUGCACAACAUGCUCCUAAUGGAUUGGACCACACAGGUCUGUCACAUUCAGAAACUCCUAUUGAUGAGAAUUCUGAAUUUCAUCACCAGAACAUCCGUAUAACCUUACCAACAGACGACAUGAAUGAAGCCCAACAAUGGCCGGUGGUAAAAUACCAACCACAGCUUACUUCCCCACAGUUGACCCCCACAAAGCAUUGCCCACCAUACCAAAUGAGACAGCCAUCCACUUCAAUCAGCAAGAGCAGCCACAAAUCUUCUGCUGCACAGAUCCACCAAGUGGAUGGAGAUGGCCUGUGUGCCUCCAUCCUGUUGGCAUGUCUGUUCUGCCAGCCUUGGGACUGUUUACUGGCCACAGGGAAAGGAUGCCAUGUCUGUGCCUCGUCCCUGUGCUCUUCCCUAUGCUCCACAGUGUGCUGCUGUGAGCCUGAUUCCCUGGAGCCUCUGCUGGACACGUCCCAUCACUGUGGCUGCUGUGGGUGUCUGGAUGCCCACUGUUGCCUGUGUGGAGGUCCAGGAUUUGAGUGCUGUGUCUGUGAUACAUGCAUACAUGCCACAGAGUGUCUGGAUCUAGGCAUGGAGAUCUCACAAAUGCUCUUCCACUAACCAGAUCAGUGUCAAACGAAUGUGAACACUGUAAAGAGUCAGAUAUUGUAGAGAUUGUGUGGGCCAAACUCAAAGGACAGUAAUGAAUCCACUAAAUCAUCUAACAAAUGUAGCUGUUGUACAGUGGAGGCUCAUAAUAAUGUCCGGAACAGAGUUCAUGGAAUGGCACCAAACACCUGGGAACCAUGUGUUUGAUGUAUUUGAUACCAUUCCACUGAUUUCGUUCCA
RNAcentral lists this long non-coding RNA (925 nucleotides) under Salmo trutta (river trout). RNAcentral describes it as "lncRNA (ENSSTUG00000034978.1)". The record is from RNAcentral. Lineage: Eukaryota; Metazoa; Chordata; Actinopteri; Salmoniformes; Salmonidae.